This is a long non-coding RNA of Hyla sarda, 5811 nucleotides long. RefSeq lists it as uncharacterized. The record is from RefSeq and is a predicted model, not a curated record. Lineage: Eukaryota; Metazoa; Chordata; Amphibia; Anura; Hylidae. The transcript has 3 exons.
UAUAGGAUGUUAUACUCACCUGUCCCCGCCACUCCCGACCGUCACCGCUGCCCUGGAUGUCGCCCUCCAUAGCUGUUGCUGUGUCCCCGGGGUGUCCCUGACGCUCUGGACGUCUCUGCUUCCCCGGGAUCCCCGGCAUGCGAGGCGACGUGAUGACGACAAAGGAGAGCGCCGGCGAUGGACGGGAUCCCGAAGAGGACGCUCCGGAACACCGAGGACAGCUCAGCUUUGUCCUGUGUCUGCAAGUCAAGCAAUACAAGUCUAUGAAGAGGGGAGGAGGGAGCUCCGCCCACCUGCUCAGGGAGAACUGCAAAUUAUAUAUAAAGGCUGCAGAGCAGAAAUAUGCUGAAUAUACCAUAUAGAAGUUAUAUAAUGGCCAGAAAGAGCGCAGCUCCUCAUGUAUACACACAGGAAAGCUUAUCCUAAAAAGUCACCUGAAAUGACAGAUAUAUCAGAAAUCCAUCAGACAGGAUGCCUGCUCUUUCAUCUCCGUUUUCUUAGUAAAUCCAAGAAGAGCAGUCUGAGCAGAGCUUCAAGAACUACUUGGAAGGAAACUAAGGAAACUGAAAGGAAACUAAGGAAACUGAAUACUCGUCAAGGUGCCAGUCGGGUAUAUAACGGAUAAAGGAACUUCAGUACUAAGUGUAAACCGAAAUGCAAAUGUAUUUAAAAUAAAAACCACAACGCGUUUUGAGGGGCAUUUCCCCACCUCGUCAGGUCAUAAACAUACAGCAGUACAAUGGAUUAAAUAGACAUACCUAUAAGAACAUUAGGCGCACACACAAAUAACCCCAAAGACAUAAAUGCAUAAAUAAUAAAAAAAAUAUAUAUUUAUUUAUUUAUUUAAUUUAGCACAAAAAUAUAUAGUAAAAUGUGAGAAAAUUCUGAAAAAAGACAGAAAAAAACGCAAUAUUGUAUAUGUGUAAAAUUAUAUAAUAUAAUAUGUAGUAGUGGAAGCUGGGGCGAGUGUCCAGUUGUAGUAUCAAAUAUAUAUAAUAUAUGUAAGAGGGACUGCUAAUAAGUAGAGGGACUGCUGCAUGCUAAGAUAUCAAAAGAGUGCAAAAGUGACAAAGGAAAAUAUAAAAAUAACAAUGGUACCUUUAAAAAGGUGUGCCAAAAACUAGUAUAAAAAAAACAUAAAGUGCACAAGUGCCAAACAAUGUAAAUCCAGAUGUCAAUAGCAACAAAGAAAUAUAUAUAACAACAUCGGCAGCAGAUACACCAUCCAGGACUUGCCUCAGCUCCACACCAACACUCCGACACGUUUCACCGGGAAAGGACACGUUUCACCGGGAAAGGCUUUAUCCAGGAGUGAUAAAAUAGAUAAAAUAGGAUUAAAUGGACAUGUAAAGUUUCAGUUCACAUUUAAAAAAUGGCGCAAACAUGGCACCAACUGGAGAUCAUGGUGACGUUAUUGCAAACUUGGAUGGAUUUCUCUUCAUUCUUGCAGUCAGCAGUGUUUGACUGGAGGAUACCAGCAGCCAUUGGCACCUCCAGAGGAUAAAUGGUAGCAUCUUCUUAUGCUACAUGUAAGUGAUGGUCCCAACUCCAAAAACAAGAGACCAUACAAAAGCAAUGUAAAUAGGAAUAUGGACAAACUUUAUUCAGGUAUAGCAAAACCUAAGAAACACAAUAAAAAAAACAUAUAUAAUUCAUGGGCAGAACAGGGAACUCAGGCAGAAGAGAGGGAGAUGAGGGCACUGAAAAAAGUCCUUAGGUUGGGGACUUUUGUAAACAUGGAACUAGGUACCUGGAGAGGUAUAUAUUACUUGAAAUGAUUACUGGAGUAGAAUCACUUUAAGCAUAAUGAUGCUAUCUCUGUAGCAGAUAAUACAAGUCUGUCAACAAGAAUAUGUACUAACAGUAGUGGCUGCGGUAUUAAGGUGCAUAGAAACAUAGUAGAGAACAUACACAUAACAUGAUUAAACAAUGAUGCGAUACAUGACCAGUGCACCUAUGGGGUACCCCUCACCUUCUACCCCUAAAUAUGGCGGAAAGCCAUAUCUCUUUGGUAAAUAUAAGUGAUGGUGUUGCGCUUGUAGCAAACACUGCCAGGUGAGUGCAGGGACCAUCUCCCAGUUGGGGGCUGUCGGUUAGGGCGGAUCAUCUAAGCAGGUAGGGACAGUGGUUGGGGAGAGAUCCAGAUGGCACUGCUCCAUACCCCGUAGCCGCUAAAAAUACAACUCCCAGGCAAUAGAGAAUCCUUAACAAAUGUGGUGAGGGUGUGAUAAGGGCAGAUGGAAUUACCCUAGGGGCAGAUGGCAUUAACCCCUUGUGUUCGUGACACCAGGGCGUGGUUAAUCCUCUAUACCACCCGAAGGUAUACCACUGGAUCCUGGGCUAGGCAAGGGGGAAAAUAAUGACCCUGACGCCAAGUUACUGAACAAUAGCAGCUUUACUGAGUCAGACAGAUGUAACAGUCUAUACAGCUUCUCUAGGCCCAAGGAGGGGACCAGUGACCACAGGGCUUGCUGGGACUUAUAGUGGACUUGGACAAUUUGAUGCAGGGCCACGCUGAUUUGAUACAGAAUAUUUGACUGACUUGACUGAGACAAUGACUUUUUUUGGGGGGGGCCGAAGGGCUCUAGGGUUUGUUUGGUGUUGCAGCAUACCAUGGAGGCGGUUGCGUAGCGUUUUGGGGUCUCGCUGGCUCCAGAUGAGACGGAAGGCCCAUUUACAGUGGUGAAGGUUUUAGGGAUAGUUAUCGACUCAAAUCGUAUGGAGUGUCGCAUGCCUGAGGACAAGUUCGCAGCUCUGAGGCAGUGUGUGCAGCAGUGUCAUAGAUGUAAGAGGGCGCCUUUGAGGGAGGUCCAGUCAUUGCUGGGGAAAUUGAAUUUUGCCUAUGGGCAGGGUCUUUUGUAGGCAUUUUUCCUUGGACACUGUGGGGGUGUUGGUUCCGCAUCACUACGUUCGCCUGUCUGGGGAGGAGCGGGUGGACUUGGAGAUCUGGGAUUCCUUUUUGUCUGUCUACAGCGGCAGGUCCAUCUGGAUGGCGGAGGUGGUUGAUGAUGCUGAAUUAGAGAUGUUUACCAACGCAUCCAGUUUGGUAGGUUAUGGGUGUUUUUUCAAGGGUAGUGCGGUGGAGUGGCCGGACUCUUGGCGGGUGGUGGGUUUGGUGGCUAAUUUGGUUGUGUUGGAGCUGUUCUCUAUUAUGGUUGCGACAGAAAUUUGGGGAUAUCGGUUGAGGGAUAGGAGGGUCCGUUUUCGUUGUGAUAAUAUAGGAGUGCUCCAAGCGAUCAAUCAUCAGACCUCUAGUUCCCCGCCGCUGUUACGCUUGCUUCGGCAUUUAGUUUUGCGGAGCUUGCUGUUGAAUGCGCAGUUUGUGGCACAGUUUGUGUAUGUUGUCAAGUCUGUCGCUGAUUCUCUUUCUCGUUCACAGUGGGACAGGUUUUGCGUGCUGGCACCAGAGGCGUAGCGGGAUUCCUUGCCCCGCUCGGCUGUGGAACGUGGUUUGGGAGCAGCGGUGCAAUUGAUCAGGAGGUUGAUCAGGAGGUCGUUGAUCAGGAGUGCUCGGACUUGGUCUGCGUAUUCAAAGGUUUGGCGUUGCUGCAGAGGGUGGAUUAGUGUGUUGGUCUCAAGGAUUGGGUGAUUGUGGUGCUGUAUUUUGUGGGUAUGCUGUUUGUGUCGGGGGUGCCGCACAGCAUGUCAGUGCUGGCAUUUAGUUUUUUGUUACGGGGCCUGGGGAAUGCAACUAAGCAUUUUUGGGAUAAUGCAAUGACGGUUAUGAGGUAUUGUUGUUUCGGUUAGCCUUUGUUUUGGCCUUUUGGAUUUCCAAACUGGUGGCUCGGAGUCGGUCGGUGGUUUGUUAUUCGGGGACGUGGUGGUGCAGGCAAGGGAGGUUGGUUGUUUUUUGCGCAGUUCUAAAACUGAUCAGAGUGGUCGGGGUUGUUGGGUGGUUUUAGGGGAGUUGCCGGGGUUGUUGGUGUGCCUGGUGCGAUGUUUGCGUGUAUUUUUGGCGGUGCGGCCGGAAGAUGUGGGUUCUUUGUUGGUGCAUAGGGACGGGUCUUUUCUCUCAUGCUUUCAAUUUGUGUCGGUUUUCUGCAGGUGUUCGGUGGUGCACGGGUUGGAUUAUAGCUCUCAUUUGUAUUGGAUCGUUGUUGCUACUGAGGCAGCUCAGUGGAGGAUGGGUGCGGAAGUGAUUCGGCAGAUUGGGCGCUGGGACUCAUUUUCGUCUGUAUGUCCACAUUUGUUGUGAGUGUAUUGGGAGGGUGGUUGUUUGUUAUGCCUUUCUUGUUUUUGGGUUUUUCAGGUCACGGACGGUGUUUGGUGUGGAUUAUAUUUGGUUUAUAUGUGUAACAUAUGAAACUGUUAUUUAUUGGUUGUUAAAUAAACAGGCCACAUGGCCAAAUUUUUCCACAAUAUGUGUAAGUGUCCUUUUAUGGGAAAAGGGGGUUAUAUUCAGUUGGGAGUUGGUUUAGAGCGGGAAGGGAUGUAUCCAAAAUCCCAUCCAGUCAUGUCGCUCUUGUAUGACUCUCAGGAUUGCUACAUCAUUGUUUACUUUACCUGGAUCCCUCACCGUACACAGCCUGAAGUAGGGCCUAGCCCAACAUGCUGCUAUUGCUAUUGAAUUAAUAUAACAUCUAAGUACGGUGUGUGCACUGUGACACCUUCAUCUAGAGUAUUGAUUUCUUCUUAAAGGAUAUUUUUUAAAGUUUGCUGGUAGCAUAGAGGUUUCUACCUGAAUCUGGCAUCCAAGGGCAUAAAAAAGAACUGCUUCAUGCAACCCCAUAUAUGACCAAUAGUUUAAAGUUAGUAGUUAAAAGGAAAACUGACAGAUGGAUCAACCCCACUAACCUAAAUAUACAGGUGGUUAUUGUGGGUCAUCCUGAGUUAAACAAUGUAGUCCAUACCUCAAUCCAUUCAACCGUUCCUGACAUAUAGCACAAUCUUACAAUAUGCAGAUGAACUCUCAACUGCACAGGAGGCGGGUUUGAAGACUAUCUGCCCCUCUGACAUCCCCCAUGCACGGUAAUGUUACCACUGCUUCGACCUCCAUCUGCCUGGGAAAUGGAUAUUCAUAAAGCACGGCCUGCCUGCUCACUUCUAUCUUUGGCUACUGCGAACCAAGUCUGGUGAUUUGCAUGAUACCGAAAAUAAUACUGAUGACGGAUUCCCUUUAAGUUGUGUCAAUAAUGCAGCAUAAACUGCAGUUGUACUCCGCCCCUCUAUCAUAACACAUUGGCCCUGAUUUACUAAGAGUGGAGUGUAGUUUUCUUUGUGGCUUUUUUUCCCCAACAGGUAUUUUUCCACGGUAUUUACUAAUGUUUUCCUACAUUUUGCACUUUUCCCUAAGUUUUGCUUUUUUUUUUUUUACAACUGCUCUGAUCUGUCAGGUUUUUCUCAGCUAAAAUCCACCACAUUUUCUGUGAAAACCAUAGUAAAUAUGUUGGGAUUUUUUUUAAAUGUCAGGACACGCCCCAUUUGGGGACACACCCCUUUAUCCAAUGACCACACCCCUUUUUUGGGUUUUCUCAGUUAAAUGGAGAGUUGGUCUGUUUUUUUUCAAUUCUGACGCAAACCUGGCACAAAUUCUGGCACAAUGCACCAGAAUUUGGUGCAAAACCCGACAAAACAUGUCGGGUUUACAACAGUAAAUCAGGGCCAAUGUAUUAGUUUGUCCUUAAAGUGUUCCUUUAAUAUUUCAAAGGGAUCUAGAUUCUAUUUCUUCUUUUCUACUAUUAAAAUAACAUGCUCAGAUGAGUAAAAUAGAGAUAUGGAGUGAUAGUCAGGGACCAAACGAUUGCCAAACUAGCUAGGAAUAAUUAUUCAAGUUGUAGAGUUCAUAUCUAACUGUAUAGACUGUAAGCUCUC